AGAGUUUGAUCAUGGCUCAGAUUGAACGCUGGCGGCAUGCCUUACACAUGCAAGUCGAACGGCAGCACGGGAGCAAUCCUGGUGGCGAGUGGCGAACGGGUGAGUAAAGCAUCGGAACGUGCCCAGUCGUGGGGGAUAACGUAGCGAAAGCUACGCUAAUACCGCAUACGAUCUGUGGAUGAAAGCGGGGGACCGUAAGGCCUCGCGCGAUUGGAGCGGCCGAUGUCAGAUUAGGUAGUUGGUGGGGUAAAGGCUCACCAAGCCGACGAUCUGUAGCUGGUCUGAGAGGACGACCAGCCACACUGGGACUGAGACACGGCCCAGACUCCUACGGGAGGCAGCAGUGGGGAAUUUUGGACAAUGGGCGCAAGCCUGAUCCAGCAAUGCCGCGUGCAGGAUGAAGGCCUUCGGGUUGUAAACUGCUUUUGUACGGAGCGAAAAGGCUUCCACUAAUACUGGGGGCUCAUGACGGUACCGUAAGAAUAAGCACCGGCUAACUACGUGCCAGCAGCCGCGGUAAUACGUAGGGUGCAAGCGUUAAUCGGAAUUACUGGGCGUAAAGCGUGCGCAGGCGGUUUUGUAAGACAGGUGUGAAAUCCCCGGGCUUAACCUGGGAACUGCACUUGUGACUGCAAGGCUGGAGUACGGCAGAGGGGGAUGGAAUUCCGCGUGUAGCAGUGAAAUGCGUAGAUAUGCGGGAGGAACACCGAUGGCGAAGGCAAUCCCCUGGGCCUGUACUGACGCUCAUGCACGAAAGCGUGGG
This 763-nucleotide ribosomal RNA is filed under the name uncultured Pseudomonadota bacterium. RNAcentral's name for it is "bacterial SSU rRNA". It matches the Rfam family "Bacterial small subunit ribosomal RNA", at positions 8 to 765 of the family's 1533-position model. The record is from RNAcentral. Lineage: Bacteria; Pseudomonadati; Pseudomonadota.